Molecule: ribosomal RNA, 429 nt
Filed under: Actinomycetes bacterium
Lineage: Bacteria; Bacillati; Actinomycetota; Actinomycetes
Description: Actinobacteria bacterium partial 16S ribosomal RNA
Rfam family: Bacterial small subunit ribosomal RNA
Source: RNAcentral
UAGGGAAUCUUCCGCAAUGGGCGAAAGCCUGACGGAGCAACGCCGCGUGAGUGAUGAAGGUCUUCGGAUCGUAAAACUCUGUUAUUAGGGAAGAACAAAUGUGUAAGUAACUAUGCACGUCUUGACGGUACCUAAUCAGAAAGCCACGGCUAACUACGUGCCAGCAGCCGCGGUAAUACGUAGGUGGCAAGCGUUAUCCGGAAUUAUUGGGCCUAAAGCGCGCGUAGGCGGUUUUUUAAGUCUGAUGUGAAAGCCCACGGCUCAACCGUGGAGGGUCAUUGGAAACUGGAAAACUUGAGUGCAGAAGAGGAAAGUGGAAUUCCAUGUGUAGCGGUGAAAUGCGCAGAGAUAUGGAGGAACACCAGUGGCGAAGGCGACUUUCUGGUCUGUAACUGACGCUGAUGUGCGAAAGCGUGGGGAUCAAACAGG